GUGAAUCAUCAAAUUUUUGAACGCAAAUUGCGCCUUUUUCGGAAGGCAUGUCUGUUUGAGGGCACCAGUUAACAAAUAAUGUGCAGCGUGUUUUGCUGCGCACGUUGAUGAGCUUUCCAAGAAUGUUAAAUUUUAGGUGUCGCAUAAUGAACAGCGUUAAAGUUUUUUUCAGUUCGAGUUUAGUAAAAGCUUUGCUUGGGUUUUGAAAGUUCAUAUUCUCGCAAUCGUUGUGGCAAUGUCUUUUUAUC
This 248-nucleotide unclassified non-coding RNA is filed under the name Paraglomerales sp. Its description in RNAcentral is "partial contains 5.8S ribosomal RNA and internal transcribed spacer 2". The stretch from base 1 to 65 matches the Rfam family "5.8S ribosomal RNA", at positions 84 to 154 of the family's 154-position model. The record is from RNAcentral. Lineage: Eukaryota; Fungi; Glomeromycota; Glomeromycetes; Paraglomerales.